GAUGAACGCUGGCGGCGUGCCUAAUACAUGCAAGUCGAGCGAACAGACGAGGAGCUUGCUCCUCUGACGUUAGCGGCGGACGGGUGAGUAACACGUGGAUAACCUACCUAUAAGACUGGGAUAACUUCGGGAAACCGGAGCUAAUACCGGAUAACAUGUUGAACCGCAUGGUUCAACAGUGAAAGACGGUCUUGCUGUCACUUAUAGAUGGAUCCGCGCCGCAUUAGCUAGUUGGUAAGGUAACGGCUUACCAAGGCAACGAUGCGUAGCCGACCUGAGAGGGUGAUCGGCCACACUGGAACUGAGACACGGUCCAGACUUCUACGGGAGGCAGCAGUAGGGAAUCUUCCGCAAUGGGCGAAAUCCUGACGGAGCAACGCCGCGUGAGUGAAGAAGGUCUUCGGAUCGUAAAACUCUGUUAUUAGGGAAGAACAAAUGUGUAAGUAACUAUGCACGUCUUGACGGUACCUAAUCAGAAAGCCACGGCUAACUACGUG
Molecule: ribosomal RNA, 497 nt
Filed under: uncultured bacterium
Lineage: Bacteria
Description: partial 16S ribosomal RNA
Rfam family: Bacterial small subunit ribosomal RNA
Source: RNAcentral